This is a long non-coding RNA of Micropterus dolomieu (smallmouth bass), 333 nucleotides long. RefSeq lists it as uncharacterized. Lineage: Eukaryota; Metazoa; Chordata; Actinopteri; Centrarchiformes; Centrarchidae. The transcript has 2 exons. The record is from RefSeq and is a predicted model, not a curated record.
CUUCAGCUCAAAUCUGGUCGCCACUCAGUGACCUUCAUCCUCUUCCACCUCGCUCAUCUUCCCCUUCAUGGCUAAAGGCGUCACUGUAGCUGGGAGAGCGCGACAUACUGAACGCGAGAAAUCAGAGAAUGGCAGAAGACAGACUGUCCCAUCGAGUAUCCAGGGGACACAGGCUGUCAUGUCACACUCUGCUCCCGUCGCAAACACACAGCAGGGAGGUAAAUUAACACGACCAUCGGCCAAAUGCUUCGCCUCCUCUACCAGCCAACCUGGCAGCUCAUCAACCAUUACUUGGACAAUUCUUUAUAUUAAAAACUCUGGAUGCCAAACCUU